Molecule: long non-coding RNA, 411 nt
Organism: Gossypium arboreum
Lineage: Eukaryota; Viridiplantae; Streptophyta; Magnoliopsida; Malvales; Malvaceae
Exons: 2
Source: RefSeq, a predicted model, not a curated record
GUGACUAUGACUCAAAUAGACAGCUUUGAAUAAACUAUAAAUAAUAAUAGUUGAAUUAUAGAGAAUGUUGCAUAUGAACAUGAAAUGCAUUUAAUUGAUAAUUAAAUUUAUUUAUUUAGAUCCAGAAGAUUCAAAUACGAAGCUAGAUCGAGGAAAGGAAAAAGUUCGGGAUCAGUAGAUUUUUUUUGUUUACAAAUAAGUAUCAAGUGUUAAGAGCUCGGAGGUCAGAUUUGGUCGGAAACACAUCACACUAUCAACCUCAAGAUUUCAGUAUAUAAAAAAAAAUUAUUUUGGAAAUCAAUGGCAUGUAUAAGCUAAUAAAGUAAAUGAUUCUGUGAAAUGAAUGUAAGGACAACCAAUGGUAUGGCUAACAAAUCUUGGUUUUGGUAUACGAUGAUGUUAUCUUAUAAA